UACGGAGGGUGCAAGCGUUAUCCGGAUUUACUGGGUUUAAAGGGUGCGUAGGCGGAUAGGUAAGUCAGUGGUGAAAUCUUCGAGCUUAACUCGGAAAUUGCCUUUGAUACUAUCUAUCUUGAAUAUUGUGGAGGUAAGCGGAAUAUGUCAUGUAGCGGUGAAAUGCUUAGAUAUGACAUAGAACACCUAUUGCGAAGGCAGCUUACUACGCAUAUAUUGACGCUGAGGCACGAAAGCGUGGGGAUCAAACAGG
RNAcentral lists this ribosomal RNA (253 nucleotides) under uncultured bacterium. RNAcentral describes it as "partial 16S ribosomal RNA". It matches the Rfam family "Bacterial small subunit ribosomal RNA", at positions 524 to 776 of the family's 1533-position model. The record is from RNAcentral.